GACGAACGCUGGCGGCGUGCCUAACACAUGCAAGUCGAACGGUGAAGCGAGUUCCUUGUUGGUGGGUGGGGAUGGGUGGCGGACGGGGGAAUAAGUGGUGAGUAACCUUCUACCUCCGGCUGGAUAACCGCAUGACGGUGUUGAUAAUACGGGAUAUUCUGGACCGGUCGCAUCAUUGGUCUGGGACAGAUUUUGUUUCGGUGGUAGAUGGGCUCGCGCCGCAUUAGCUAGUUGGUAAGGUAACGGCUUACCAAGGCGACGAUGGGUAGCCGGCCUGAGAGGGUGAGCGGCCACCCUGGAACUGAGACACGGCCCAGACUCCUACGGGAGGCAGCAGUAGGGAAUCUUCCGCAAUGGGCGAAAGCCGGACGGAGCAACGCCGCGUGAGUGAUGAAGGUCUUCGGAUCGUAAAACUCUGUUAUUAGGGAAGAACAAAUGUGUAAGUAACUAUGCACGUCUUGACGGUACCUAAUCAGAAAGCCACGGCUAACUACGUG
Molecule: ribosomal RNA, 497 nt
Filed under: uncultured bacterium
Lineage: Bacteria
Description: partial 16S ribosomal RNA
Rfam family: Bacterial small subunit ribosomal RNA
Source: RNAcentral